CCUACGGGUGACAGCAGUGGUGAAUAUUGCACAAUGGGGGGAACCCUGAUGCAGCGACGCCGCGUGAGUGAAGAAGUAUUUCGGUAUGUAAAGCUCUGUCAGCAGGGAAGAAGCAAGACGGUACCUGACCAAGAAGCCCCGGCUAACUACGGGCCAGCAGCCGCGGUCAGACGGAGGGGGCAAGCGUUAUCCUGAUUUACUGGGUGUAAAGGGCGCGUAGACGGCAGGGCAAGUCUGGAGUGAAAGGCAGGGGACCAACCCCUGGACUGCUCUGGAAACUGGCCGGCUGGAGUGCAGGAGAGGGAAGUGGAAUUCCUAGUGUAGCGGUGAAAGGCGUAGAUAUUAGGAGGAACACCAGUGGCGAAGGCGGCUUACUGGACUGUAACUGACGUUGAGGCACGAAAGCGUGGGGAGCAAACAGGAUUAGAUACCCUAGUAGUC
Molecule: ribosomal RNA, 441 nt
Filed under: uncultured bacterium
Lineage: Bacteria
Description: partial 16S ribosomal RNA
Rfam family: Bacterial small subunit ribosomal RNA
Source: RNAcentral